AUGAGAAAUAUGAAUGUUGUCCCCUGCUCCACCGCAUGGUGCUUAUUUGAAGAUGCAGGGGUAGCUCCAGUAACCUCUGUUAGUAACAAGUCACCAGCUGAGCUGCACCGAUGGACCAGUACGUCCUGGCGAUCGUCCCUUGGACCGUUUGCUCCUUCGCAUUGUGCGGGUGGGACCUGGACGUGUACCUGUGCUACGUGCCUGCCCUUGGGUAGCCGAGCAGCUAAGGCAGCUCGGUACGUGGCAUGCCGUAAGCAGCUCCCCAGCAGUGCUGUCACUUGCAGAGAGGACCAGAGCUGGUGCACUGGGAACUCGCUGAGGGGAGGAUGGGGCCCUCAGGAAACCUCCCAGGACCAUCACCAAGGGCGAUGUCCUCCAGGAUGCCCUCUCCUAUGUGAUGUCUUGCGUGUCCCCACUAAGGCUUUGUCACGGGAGCGGAGUCACGGCGUGAUUAUGCAAGGGACAGGACACGCUUCACACAAAAAGUCUGCGGCCAGGAGGUGCCCGAGGCCGUGUCCCCUCCAGGGGCUGCACUGA
Molecule: long non-coding RNA, 537 nt
Filed under: Anas platyrhynchos platyrhynchos (common mallard)
Lineage: Eukaryota; Metazoa; Chordata; Aves; Anseriformes; Anatidae
Description: lncRNA (ENSAPLG00000025300.1)
Source: RNAcentral